Podarcis raffonei (Aeolian wall lizard) is the source of this 839-nucleotide long non-coding RNA. RefSeq lists it as uncharacterized. The record is from RefSeq and is a predicted model, not a curated record. The transcript is spliced from 2 exons. Lineage: Eukaryota; Metazoa; Chordata; Lepidosauria; Squamata; Lacertidae.
AACAAACAAACAAACAAAAAAAAAACCUAUUAAAUUGGAACAUUUAUACUAAUGUUUUCUUUCAUCAUGCAUUUUCCUUUCAACACUGGAAAGUGUUAUUUUUUAUUCAUAAAAGGGACCAAUAAGUUUAAGGUAUACAACGUGUAUUGCAGACAAAUUAAACAAUAUGUAGCACCACCUAAAUCCUCAGAAAUUACUAACAGCAUACAAAAGACUCAAAAAUAAUUAUCUCUGGGGCCCUUACCCAACACCUCAAGGAAGAUGUCUGUUACCAGAAUACACAGAUGAGAUGAACAGUGGUCAUGUGAAUCACCUCUGUGCUAAUAAUGACAACUUCUAGCCUGUUCUCAUGACUCUGAGCACAUGGAAGACCAAACUGAUUUUUUUUUGGGGGGGGGGUAACUAUCAGCUAAGCUUCCAUUAACUAGGUGUGCAGUUGGCAAUAUCAGACGUUCAAGCUGCUAUAUAGAUCAGCUUUUGACAUUCAAUCAGAAACUCAGUCAACACCUGCUUGCUUAUAGUUCUGCUUAAGUGCAAAAAACCCCUGAAACAUAUGUCAUUGAAAGUCACAUGACCAGUUUGGCUUGUGGCAGCAAAGAUAAAACUCAGCAGAGCCUAUCUUGAAGAAACCCAGAUGAUGCUGUGAACAUUUUUUCUCCAACAGGCAUUCCAAGCUGGAUGAAUGUGUCUCUGCUAAGGUUUUGAAAAAUGACUCUUCUGAGGACAAGAGCAAUACAAUAGCAUAUGGGUGAAUAACUUGAUUCUUUCAUUUAAUCACACAAACAUCUGGUUCAUUUGCCAAGGGCUUUUAAUGAACUUAAUAAACAGAGUAUCUCUUA